UCGGAAAAUUCGCUAAAUUCCGCAAGGAAACGGGGGACCCAUCUUAUGGGGUGAAUCCGGCCAUCACGGCUGGUAGGGCUAUCUCUCUCAGGCCCGAAUCCGACAGCUAACCUCGUCAGCGUGUAAGAGAGGAGUG
This 136-nucleotide small RNA is filed under the name Alicyclobacillus sp. RNAcentral describes it as "c-di-AMP sequence". It matches the Rfam family "c-di-AMP riboswitch aptamer (ydaO/yuaA leader)". Rfam says of the family: This family represents a conserved RNA structure found upstream of the ydaO and yuaA genes in Bacillus subtilis and related genes in other bacteria. The ydaO/yuaA element is thought to act as a genetic "off" switch for the ydaO and yuaA genes in its native state. Lineage: Bacteria; Bacillati; Bacillota; Bacilli; Caryophanales; Alicyclobacillaceae. The record is from RNAcentral.